RNAcentral lists this ribosomal RNA (154 nucleotides) under uncultured fungus. RNAcentral's name for it is "partial 5.8S ribosomal RNA". It matches the Rfam family "5.8S ribosomal RNA". From Rfam's summary of the family: 5.8S ribosomal RNA (5.8S rRNA) is a component of the large subunit of the eukaryotic ribosome. It is transcribed by RNA polymerase I as part of the 45S precursor that also contains 18S and 28S rRNA. Lineage: Eukaryota; Fungi. The record is from RNAcentral.
AACUUUCAACAACGGAUCUCUUGGCUCUCGCAUCGAUGAAGAACGCAGCGAAAUGCGAUAAGUAAUGUGAAUUGCAGAAUUCAGUGAAUCAUCGAAUCUUUGAACGCACCUUGCGCCCUCUGGUAUUCCGGAGGGCAUGCCUGUUUGAGUGUCA